GACGAACGCUGGCGGCGUGCUUAACACAUGCAAGUCGAACGGAAAGGCCCUGCUUUUGUGGGGUGCUCGAGUGGCGAACGGGUGAGUAACACGUGAGUAACCUGCCCUUGACUUUGGGAUAACUUCAGGAAACUGGGGCUAAUACCGGAUAGGAGCUCCUGCUGCAUGGUGGGGGUUGGAAAGUUUCGGCGGUUGGGGAUGGACUCGCGGCUUAUCAGCUUGUUGGUGGGGUAGUGGCUUACCAAGGCUUUGACGGGUAGCCGGCCUGAGAGGGUGACCGGCCACAUUGGGACUGAGAUACGGCCCAGACUCCUACGGGAGGCAGCAGUGGGGAAUAUUGCACAAUGGGCGGAAGCCUGAUGCAGCAACGCCGCGUGCGGGAUGACGGCCUUCGGGUUGUAAACCGCUUUCGCCUGUGACGAAGCGUGAGUGACGGUAAUGGGUAAAGAAGCACCGGCUAACUACGUGCCAGCAGCCGCGGUGAUACGUAGGGUGCGAGCGUUGUCCGGAUUUAUUGGGCGUAAAGGGCUCGUAGGUGGUUGAUCGCGUCGGAAGUGUAAUCUUGGGGCUUAACCCUGAGCGUGCUUUCGAUACGGGUUGACUUGAGGAAGGUAGGGGAGAAUGGAAUUCCUGGUGGAGCGGUGGAAUGCGCAGAUAUCAGGAGGAACACCAGUGGCGAAGGCGGUUCUCUGGGCCUUUCCUGACGCUGAGGAGCGAAAGCGUGGGGAGCGAACAGGCUUAGAUACCCUGGUAGUCCACGCUGUAAACGGUGGGUACUAGGUGUGGGGUCCAUUCCACGGGUUCCGUGCCGUAGCUAACGCUUUAAGUACCCCGCCUGGGGGGUACGGCCGCAAGGCUAAAACUCAAAGGAAUUGACGGGGCCCCGCACAAGCGGCGGAGCAUGCGGAUUAAUUCGAUGCAACGCGUAGAACCUUACCUGGGUUUGACAUGGAUCGGGAGUGCUCAGAGAUGGGUGUGCCUCUUUUGGGGUCGGUUCACAGGUGGUGCAUGGCUGUCGUCAGCUCGUGUCGUGAGAUGUUGGGUUAAGUCCCGCAACGAGCGCAACCCUUGUUCACUGUUGCCAGCACGUUAUGGUGGGGACUCAGUGGAGACCGCCGGGGUCAACUCGGAGGAAGGUGGGGAUGGCGUCAAGUCAUCAUGCCCCUUAUGUCCAGGGCUUCACGCAUGCUACAAUGGCUGGUACAGAGAGUGGCGAGCCUGUGAGGGUGAGCGAAUCUCGGAAAGCCGGUCUCAGUUCGGAUUGGGGUCUGCAACUCGACCUCAUGAAGUCGGAGUCGCUAGUAAUCGCAGAUCAGCAACGCUGCGGUGAAUACGUUCCCGGGGCU
Molecule: ribosomal RNA, 1346 nt
Filed under: uncultured bacterium
Lineage: Bacteria
Description: partial 16S ribosomal RNA
Rfam family: Bacterial small subunit ribosomal RNA
Source: RNAcentral